UACGAAGGGGGCUAGCGUUGUUCGGAAUUACUGGGCGUAAAGCGCGUGUAGGCGGGCCGUUAAGAUGGGGGUGAAAGCCCGGAGCUCAACUCCGGAACUGCCUUCAUGACUGGCGGCCUGGACUCAAGGAGAGGCAAGUGGAAUUGCGAGUGUAGAGGUGAAAUUCGUAGAUAUUCGCAGGAACACCAGUGGCGAAGGCGACUUGCUGGACUUGUAGUGACGCUGAGACGCGAAAGCGUGGGGAGCAAACAGG
RNAcentral lists this ribosomal RNA (253 nucleotides) under uncultured bacterium. Its description in RNAcentral is "partial 16S ribosomal RNA". It matches the Rfam family "Bacterial small subunit ribosomal RNA", at positions 524 to 776 of the family's 1533-position model. The record is from RNAcentral.